Molecule: ribosomal RNA, 262 nt
Filed under: uncultured archaeon
Lineage: Archaea
Description: partial 16S ribosomal RNA
Rfam family: Archaeal small subunit ribosomal RNA
Source: RNAcentral
CAGCCGUAAACUAUGCGCGUUAGGUGUAUCGGUGACCACGAGUUACCGAGGUGCCGAAGGGAAACCGUGAAACGUGCCGCCUGGGAAGUACGGUCGCAAGGCUGAAACUUAAAGGAAUUGGCGGGGGAGCACCACAACAGGUGGAGCCUGCGGUUUAAUUGGACUCAACGCCGGGAAGCUCACCGGAUAGGACAGCAGAAUGAUUGCCGGGCUGAAGACCCUGCAUGACUAGCUGAGAGGAGGUGCAUGGCCGUCAGUGACU